Syngnathoides biaculeatus (alligator pipefish) is the source of this 2595-nucleotide long non-coding RNA. RefSeq lists it as uncharacterized. NCBI's taxonomy places the organism in Eukaryota, Metazoa, Chordata, Actinopteri, Syngnathiformes, Syngnathidae. The transcript has 3 exons. The record is from RefSeq and is a predicted model, not a curated record.
UAACACUAUUUACAUUACGGCGGCACAAUGCACAACCGAUUAGUGCAUUUGCCUCAUGGCUCUGAAGACCCACGUUCCAAUCUGGCCCCUCCUGUGUGGAAUUUGCAUUUUCUCCCCGUGCCUGCGUGGCUUUUCUCCAGGUACUCCAGUUUCUUCCACAUCCCAAUUAAUGCACUAAUUGAUGACUAUAAAUUUCCCUUAGGUGUGAUUGUGAGUAUGAAUUAUUGUAUGGUUCUGUCAUGAUCCUGCCGCUCCAGCCCGGCCGGGCUGUGCGGGGGCCCGCGCGGUUGCGCUGAUUGGGAGGCGCACACCUGCGCCUCAUGCGGGCUGAUUAUCCUGUGUAUUUAUAUGACCCCGAUGACGACUGGUCGGCGCCAGAUCGUUGAGGUUCAUGUCCUGUUCGAGCACUCCCGGUUCCCUGAUCGACCUACUGUGUGUACCGACCUUCGCCUGUUCUCCGACCAACCCCGUAAGCCCGACUCCUUUGACACAUCUGCCUGCUUUGAUCGUUCUCCCGUGUACCGACUCCUGCCUGCCCGCUCACCUGCUCUCUUCGCCCGACGUCCCAACUAUCGCUGCUGCACCGGACUGCCUGCCCGAUCCCCGACCACGGAAAAAUAAACUGCCUUGCAUUUGGGUUCUACUCCCGUUCCGAUAGGCCGUGACGGGUUCUAUGUGGCCUGCGAUUUGCUGGGCAAAUCCAUCCAUCCAUUUUCUUAGCCGCUUAUCCUCAAAAGAGUCACGGGGAGUGCUGGAGCAUAUCCCUGCUCUCAAUGAGCCUGAAUACACCCUGAGCCGGUUGCCAGCCAAUUGCAUUGCAAAGUCAUUCUCCAAAAUAUUGGCCUACAAGUGGAUACAAAGUCCUAACAUUCCUUUUCAAAUGCCAGGCUUUUGUAAUAUUAAAAAUAGUAAACCAUCAUUUCAAAACUUUUUCCACCUCGGUCACCGCUACCCUGUCUAAAAUGAUUUUUGAAAGAAAUCCUUCACAGGUAAAGUAAAAAUAAAUGGAAUAAUGUUAGACCACAAAUGUGAACAAAACUGGAGCGGUUCCGUCGCCAGAUAUCCUCCACCCUGGUGUGAGGAACAGAACCAGCCAUCAAGAUUUUCCACUGAGCUCUAUCACGGACUGCUGCAGAGGAUGUCAAUCCUGGAAACGGAAAUCCACCGUCUUGAAGUCUAUGUAGAAGUAAAUUGACAGUUUGGCAAUGAACUCACCCGACCAGUGUCUCAAAAUGGUGCACAGAAAUGUUAUAACAGACAACCAUUCAGCUCAUCGAAGAGAUUGGAUGUGGACCGUGGAAACAGUAACGGAUCAUAGGGCAGUUCUCCCUGGAAUUUACUGGGAGUAAAGCCCGAAAAUGUGGGGACUUUACUGAGGAAUCCAGCCGGCCUGGGUUGCGGGCUGCCUCAAUGUCGAGUGAGCGACCGUGGUCAGCUGUCUCUACAAAGGGCAAGAAAAAAAGAACGGGUUUCAAAACACUGAGAUCAGAUUGACAAAUGGAUUUGAGACACUUUUACAAGACCCUGGUCAAGAAUGCUCAUCGCCCACCUCGGCCACUGAAAGAGAGCAGAAGUACUGCAAUUACCUUGACAUAGCGUGACUUGUUUGGACUUCUGCUCUGGGCUAAGAUGAGCUCACACAUGACCAAACUCCAUGAUGAACACAUCUCAACCGGGUGCUCGAUCAAACAUAUUAAAAUUUCGUUAAUCAUCCCGGAAACAUUAAAUAUGAUCCCAUCAUUGGACAAACAGUUGUUCAGUCGACGUGAGAAGAGGUCAUUGGAGUCAGCUGUCAGGGGUGUGACUAUGCCUCUGCCGUUGGGGGACGGCUGAUCCUGGCAGCAGCUCCUCGCCAGCAAAAGCUUUCAAGUUUCCCAUUUAAUUAAUUUCUUCAUGUUUACAGUUACAUUUUCCAAUUAUCGCCCAGAGAGUUCUUAACGAGGAUUUAUGACAAAAUUCAUCCAUUUAAAUCCUUUUAUUUUCAGUCAGGCUUACUGGAAGCUGAGCGAUGCAACAAGCUUUUUUUUUUUUUUUUUUUUUUUUUCUUGCGUUGUCGGACUGCAUCUGCUCUGGGCAUCAGUGUGGCUAAGAUCAGCACACACUUGGCGACCAUGAGGAUGCUUCAAGAUAAACAAAACUCCACCGGUUGCUUGAGCCAACUCAUUGCUAUUCCGUUCAUCAUAAAUUUUAUUCCAUCAUCGAACAAACAAGGUGUUAAGUCAACAUGAGGAGAGCUACUUAAGUGCUACCAUCAGCGGUACCAGAUCACUUCACUCAAGCACCAACGAGCUGCUUCAACUUCAACCAGUGGCGCAAAAAGGUUCACCAAUCAUGGCCAGAAUCACAAAGGUCACUUUGAUGCUAGCCAUGUGUGUGCUCAUCAUGGCUACUAUACUGCACUGUGGACAAAUCCACAGGGCCUCAGAUAUAAGUCAUCUAAGACCGGGAGGUGUCUUCAUCCCGCCCUAUUUGCUGCCAGUUUGUCGAGGCGAUUGGGGUGACUGGGUGAAAAAGAGAUUGUGAUGAAUGAUUAAAUACUGCAUCAUCAGUCAUCUAAGACUGGGAGGUGUCUUCAUCCCGCCCAAUUUGAUGCCA